GGAGCAGAUCACUUAAAUUGGACUGGAUUGGCGGAGCUCAUAAAUAAGCCAAAUAAGCCAAAUAAGCAAAGCCCCGGCGGGCGGGGAGGAGGCUGCCACGAAAGCUACUGUGCAAGACUGGCGAGAGGUGCUAGCUGCCUAUGAAAAUUGCCAUCCUGAGUACGUUAAGAGGUGCCCACCUCUAGGGGGAGCCCGAGACCUUCUCUGAAGACUGCUCACUUCCAAGUGCAGAAGAAACUCGGAACGAGUCCGACCCUUCCUACCCGGUGAAAUCAAGUGUUACUCAGGGUGGAGAGUACAGAUUAAAGCACUGGCCAGUGAAUGUAGAGCGCAAAGAUAACGGGUGUAAAUAUCCACAGAACUUGAAUGGACAAGAUUAAGAUAUUUAGAAGCCCGGCAGCCUUGGUGGCUCAGUUGGUUAAGCGACUGCC
This is a long non-coding RNA of Zalophus californianus (California sea lion), 431 nucleotides long. RefSeq lists it as uncharacterized. The transcript is spliced from 3 exons. The record is from RefSeq and is a predicted model, not a curated record. NCBI's taxonomy places the organism in Eukaryota, Metazoa, Chordata, Mammalia, Carnivora, Otariidae.